ACGGGUGGGUAACGCGUGGGAAUCUACCCAUCUCUACGGAAUAACGCAUGGAAACGUGUGCUAAUACCGUAUACGUCCUUCGGGAGAAAGAUUUAUCGGAGAUGGAUGAGCCCGCGUUGGAUUAGCUAGUUGGUGGGGUAAAGGCCUACCAAGGCGACGAUCCAUAGCUGGUCUGAGAGGAUGAUCAGCCACACUGGGGCUGAGACACGGCCCAGACUCCUACGGGAGGCAGCAGUGGGGAAUAUUGGACAAUGGGCGCAAGCCUGAUCCAGCCAUGCCGCGUGAGUGAUGAAGGCCCUAGGGUUGUAAAGCUCUUUCACCGGUGAAGAUAAUGACGGUAACCGGAGAAGAAGCCCCGGCUAACUUCGUGCCAGCAGCCGCGGUAAUACGAAGGGGGCUAGCGUUGUUCGGAUUUACUGGGCGUAAAGCGCACGUAGGCGGACUAUUAAGUCAGGGGUGAAAUCCCGGGGCUCAACCCCGGAACUGCCUUUGAUACUGGUAGUCUUGAGUUCGAGAGAGGUGAGUGGAAUUCCGAGUGUAGAGGUGAAAUUCGUAGA
RNAcentral lists this ribosomal RNA (557 nucleotides) under uncultured bacterium. RNAcentral describes it as "bacterial SSU rRNA". It matches the Rfam family "Bacterial small subunit ribosomal RNA", at positions 102 to 694 of the family's 1533-position model. The record is from RNAcentral.